CCUACGGGAGGCAGCAGUGGGGAAUAUUGGACAAUGGGGGCAACCCUGAUCCAGCCAUGCCGCGUGUGUGAAGAAGGCCCUCGGGUUGUAAAGCACUUUCAGUGAGGAAGAACGCCUGGUGGUUAAUACCCAUCAGGAAAGACAUCACUCACAGAAGAAGCACCGGCUAACUCCGUGCCAGCAGCCGCAGUAAUACGGAGGGUGCGAGCGUUAAUCGGAAUUACUGGGCGUAAAGCGCGCGUAGGUGGCUUGAUAAGCCGGUUGUGAAAGCCCCGGGCUCAACCUGGGAACGGCAUCCGGAACUGUCAAGCUAGAGUGCAGGAGAGGAAGGUAGAAUUCCCGGUGUAGCGGUGAAAUGCGUAGAGAUCGGGAGGAAUACCAGUGGCGAAGGCGGCCUUCUGGACUGACACUGACACUGAGGUGCGAAAGCGUGGGUAGCAAACAGGAUUAGAUACCCGAGUAGUC
Molecule: ribosomal RNA, 465 nt
Filed under: Vreelandella stevensii
Lineage: Bacteria; Pseudomonadati; Pseudomonadota; Gammaproteobacteria; Oceanospirillales; Halomonadaceae
Description: partial 16S ribosomal RNA
Rfam family: Bacterial small subunit ribosomal RNA
Source: RNAcentral